RNAcentral lists this long non-coding RNA (245 nucleotides) under Cicer arietinum (chickpea). RNAcentral describes it as "long non-coding RNA (CARI_LNC001759)". Lineage: Eukaryota; Viridiplantae; Streptophyta; Magnoliopsida; Fabales; Fabaceae. The record is from RNAcentral.
CAAUUUCACACUAUACAAUGUCCUCCCUCAAGAGGUUUAGGAUAACAUUCAGAGUAUUUUGGUUGAUGACAAUAUUGAUGAUAUCAUUACCUAGAAAGGAUCCUCAAUUAGUGCUUAUGUUGCUAAAAGGGGUUAUAUCAACUUGAUAAUUAGCAAAACGUCUUUUCUAACAGUGUGACUUGGUUAUGGAAUUUGAAGAUUCCUGAAAACUUGAAGCACUUCAAUUGAUUAGUUGUUCAUGAAUC